AUGGGGUGACUGCGUACCUUUUGUAUAAUGGGUCAGCGACUUAUAUUCUGUAGCAAGGUUAACCGAAUAGGGGAGCCGAAGGGAAACCGAGUCUUAACUGGGCGUUAAGUUGCAGGGUAUAGACCCGAAACCCGGUGAUCUAGCCAUGGGCAGGUUGAAGGUUGGGUAACACUAACUGGAGGACCGAACCGACUAAUGUUGAAAAAUUAGCGGAUGACUUGUGGCUGGGGGUGAAAGGCCAAUCAAACCGGGAGAUAGCUGGUUCUCCCCGAAAGCUAUUUAGGUAGCGCCUCGUGAAUUCAUCUCCGGGGGUAGAGCACUGUUUCGGCAAGGGGGUCAUCCCGACUUACCAACCCGAUGCAAACUGCGAAUACCGGAGAAUGUUAUCACGGGAGACACACGGCGGGUGCUAACGUCCGUCGUGAAGAGGGAAACAACCCAGACCGCCAGCUAAGGUCCCAAAGUCAUGGUUAAGUGGGAAACGAUGUGGGAAGGCCCAGACAGCCAGGAUGUUGGCUUAGAAGCAGCCAUCAUUUAAAGAAAGCGUAAUAGCUCACUGGUCGAGUCGGCCUGCGCGGAAGAUGUAACGGGGCUAAACCAUGCACCGAAGCUGCGGCAGCGACACUAUGUGUUGUUGGGUAGGGGAGCGUUCUGUAAGCCUGCGAAGGUGUACUGUGAGGUAUGCUGGAGGUAUCAGAAGUGCGAAUGCUGACAUAAGUAACGAUAAAGCGGGUGAAAAGCCCGCUCGCCGGAAGACCAAGGGUUCCUGUCCAACGUUAAUCGGGGCAGGGUGAGUCGACCCCUAAGGCGAGGCCGAAAGGCGUAGUCGAUGGGAAACAGGUUAAUAUUCCUGUACUUGGUGUUACUGCGAAGGGGGGACGGAGAAGGCUAUGUUGGCCGGGCGACGGUUGUCCCGGUUUAAGCGUGUAGGCUGGUUUUCCAGGCAAAUCCGGAAAAUCAAGGCUGAGGCGUGAUGACGAGGCACUACGGUGCUGAAGCAACAAAUGCCCUGCUUCCAGGAAAAGCCUCUAAGCAUCAGGUAACAUCAAAUCGUACCCCAAACCGACACAGGUGGUCAGGUAGAGAAUACCAAGGCGCUUGAGAGAACUCGGGUGAAGGAACUAGGCAAAAUGGUGCCGUAACUUCGGGAGAAGGCACGCUGAUAUGUAGGUGAAGUCCCUCGCGGAUGGAGCUGAAAUCAGUCGAAGAUACCAGCUGGCUGCAACUGUUUAUUAAAAACACAGCACUGUGCAAACACGAAAGUGGACGUAUACGGUGUGACGCCUGCCCGGUGCCGGAAGGUUAAUUGAUGGGGUUAGCGCAAGCGAAGCUCUUGAUCGAAGCCCCGGUAAACGGCGGCCGUAACUAUAACGGUCCUAAGGUAGCGAAAUUCCUUGUCGGGUAAGUUCCGACCUGCACGAAUGGCGUAAUGAUG
This 1435-nucleotide ribosomal RNA is filed under the name Escherichia coli. Its description in RNAcentral is "partial 23S ribosomal RNA". It matches the Rfam family "Bacterial large subunit ribosomal RNA", at positions 588 to 2009 of the family's 2925-position model. The record is from RNAcentral. Lineage: Bacteria; Pseudomonadati; Pseudomonadota; Gammaproteobacteria; Enterobacterales; Enterobacteriaceae.